RNAcentral lists this ribosomal RNA (466 nucleotides) under uncultured bacterium. RNAcentral describes it as "partial 16S ribosomal RNA". It matches the Rfam family "Bacterial small subunit ribosomal RNA", at positions 28 to 507 of the family's 1533-position model. The record is from RNAcentral.
GACGAACGCUGGCGGCGUGCUUAACACAUGCAAGUCGAACGGAAAGGCCCUGCUUGCAGGGUACUCGAGUGGCGAACGGAUGAGUAACACGUGGGUGAUCUGCCCUGCACUUCGGGAUAAGCUUGGGAAACUGGGUCUAAUACCGGAUAGGAACCAUCUUUAGUGUGGUGGUUGGAAAGUUUUUUCGGUGUAGGAUGAGCUCGCGGCCUAUCAGCUUGUUGGUGGGGUAAUGGCCUACCAAGGCGGCGACGGGUAGCCGGCCUGAGAGGGUGUACGGCCACAUUGGGACUGAGAUACGGCCCAGACUCCUACGGGAGGCAGCAGUGGGGAAUAUUGCACAAUGGGCGCAAGCCUGAUGCAGCGACGCCGCGUGGGGGAUGAAGGCCUUCGGGUUGUAAACUCCUUUCGCUAGGGACGAAGCUUUGUUGUGACGGUACCUAGAUAAGAAGCACCGGCUAACUACGUG